Long non-coding RNA from Antechinus flavipes (yellow-footed antechinus), 4992 nucleotides. RefSeq lists it as uncharacterized. The record is from RefSeq and is a predicted model, not a curated record. The transcript is spliced from 4 exons. NCBI's taxonomy places the organism in Eukaryota, Metazoa, Chordata, Mammalia, Dasyuromorphia, Dasyuridae.
AUCUCUAAGUUAAAACGGACAUUUCCUGACUGGCCAGACACUUGGAGUUCUGAUUUCAUCUCCCUUUAGCAUCUGCCAGGAAAGAGACAAAAUGCAGAGGUCCAAGAAAGUUCUCCCACAAGAGGACAGGAUCUUGACAGAGAUUCAAUGCUUAGAAGAACUGUACAGAAGAUACAGUAAGUGUGGAGGCUGCUAGAGUUCAAGAGACCAGAAUGCAUUCAAUCUACCCAGAAGCCUGAGCCAAUCAUGACAUUGGAGGCAGGAUUCCUGGAUGGAUGUUGCUGCCAAGGGAGCAAGGAAGCCCGAGGAGCUUGCGUGGCCAUUGAGCAUCACUGGAGAAAAGUCACAAGACUGAGAUGAUUUCACCCACUACAAUUUCAAAGUACAUAACCCCAGCUGAGACCUCAUUACUGCUCAUUACAAUAUUUCUGCUGGGUGCUGCUCCUCAGCUCCCUUCUCAUCAUCCUGAGAUGGCAGUGUUCCAAGAAUUCCUUCUUUCACUCCCAACUUCACCCCCAUAUCCACCCUCAUCCUUAAAGCAGCUUUGGUUGAUUUACCUACUUAUUUCUUUGAGAAAAUGAAGACUCGCAGAAACUAUUUCAAUUUCCCCCCUACCCAUGUUCAAUUAUAAGGGGAAGAGAAGAGAAUAAACAUUUACGUAAUGCCUACUAUCUACCAGACAUUGUGCUGAACUUUAGAAAUAUUAUCUCAUUUGAUCUUCACGACAACCCUUUAAGAUAGGUGUCCUUAUUAUCCCCCAUUUUAUAUUUUAGGAAAUCAGGUCAAAUAAAGGGAUAGCUAAGUGAUGCAGUGGGUGGAGUGCUCAACUUGGAAUCAGAAAAAUUAAUCUUCAUGAUCUCAAAUCUGGCCUCAGACAUGUUCUAGCUAUAUGAUCCUGGGCAAGUCACAUAACCCUACUUGCCUCAUCUGUAAAAUUAACUGGAAAAGAAAAUGGCAAAGCACUUGAAGUGCUUUGCCAAGAAAACCCCAAAUGGUAUCACAAAGAAUUGGACAAGAGUGAACAAUAACAAUGGGGCAAACAGGGCAAAACUAUUUGCCUGGGGUUACACAGCUAAUAAGAGUCUCAGGAACUUUUUUAACUCAGGAAAAUGAGUCUUACUAACUCCAGGCUGGGUGCUCUAUUUAUUGCUCCACUUAGGGCUACAUGCCAAGAUGAGAUUUUUUUUCUAGGUAAGUAAGAAUAAGAGAUAGGACAAGAUUUGAUAAAAGACAAAAUAAAAUUUAAUAACUCAUAGGAAGGAUAUAAGCUGGCCAGAAUAGCUUGCUUGCAUGUGCUUCUCACCAUUAACAAAUUCUUUCAUCCUUAGAGAAUGUCAAUAGCAUGUUUUCAUUGGGCUAUUACCACAAAAUGCCUACCCUGGAAAGCCCAGUUGGCAAGAUCUUCACAGAAUGGAAAAUAAUUAUGCUUUGUCUCUUUUUCCCCCAAUUUUUAAACAUUUUUACUUAAAGUUUUGAGUUCCAAAUUCUAUUCCUCUUUCUUUUUCUUUCCUUCCCCUUCUCUGAGCCAGUGAACAAUCAGAUAAAUGUUAUGUAUGUGCAAUUGUGUAAAAUGGUUCCAUAUUUGUCAUUUUGUACAAGCAGAUUCAAAUAAAAAAAAAGAAAUGCAAAACAGCAUGCUUCGGUACAUAUCCAAUAUCAAUUCUUUCUCUGGAGGCAGAUAGUAUGCUUCAUCAUUAGUCCUUUGGGAUUGUCUUGAAUUGUAUUAGCUUACAUUAGUAUGUAGCUGAGAACAGCUAAAUCAUUCCAAAUUCUUCAUCAGUCAAUCUGUUCACUUCAUUCUGCAUCAGUUCAUGUAAGUCUUUUCAGGUUUUUCUGAAAUCAUGCUGCUUGUCAUUGCUUAUAGCACAAUUCCCAUUGCAAUCAAAUACUACAGCUUAUUUAGCUAUUCCCUGUUUGAUGGACAUCCCCUUAAUUUUUCAUUCUUAGCUACCAUAAAAAGAGUUGCCAUUUUUAUACAAAUAGGUCCUUUUCCCUUUUUUUGGAUGUACCCUGAAUCUCUUUGAGGCUUCUCUUCCUCCCUCCAGUAACUAUGACUCCCAUCAUAUACAGCUACAUUUUUUCACCUGAUAUUCCUCUUAUCUUUUUGAUGGUUGUGAAGGGAAUUGACAAGAAACACCUGGAAGACUAUUUUGAUCAUCUUCCUCAGGUAAGAACAAGAACCUAGAAGGGCCAGUGAAGAAUAUUGAAGUCUAUAAUUGAGAGAACAGAAUUGGCAGGAAGGGGAAAUAGAAAGAUGAGUCUUUCUAACUUGAAAUCUGCCUUCAUACUUAUUAGCUGUGUGACUCUGGGCAAGCUACUUAACUAUGUUUGCCUCAGUUUCCUAAACUAUAAGGAAAUGACAAAAUAGUCCAGUAUAUUUACCAAGAAAAUCCUAAAUGGGGGUAAUGAUGAAAAUGUCAGAACAACAACAACAACAACAAAAAAAACAACAACAUAUAUUAAUUUUAUAUCAGAAUCCAAAUUUCCUUACUCUCAAUUCAGGAAGAAUUUUUCAUGAUACCCCUUAAAGAAGUUGGAAGGCUGCCUCCUCUUCCAUGGAGAAAGCUAAGUGAUAGGACCUCAAAUGUAAUAGUGAAUGAAAGACAUGACACUAACAGUAGAAAAGGAAGGGGAUAGGAGGUAGCCUGGAACAGAGAUGUCUUCCUGUGCUUAAUCCAUGUAACACUGGAGAAAGAAAAAGUGGUAGUAGGACAAAAUGGGAAGUCAGAUGACCCUGUUUGAAUUCCAGCUCUACCAUCUACUAUCUGUAUGACUUUAGGUUAGUAACAGAACUCUCUAGAUCUCAGAUCCUCAAUCAAUUAAAUGUUAAGGUCAAUCAGCUAAUGGCUAGAGCCAAGAGUUGGAGUGUAUUAUUGGAGGCUCAUGAAACACUUUCCCAAACAUGACCCCACUUGAUCCUUGCAACAACUCUAUGAGGCAGGUAACAUAUUAUUAAACUUAUUUUAUAGGUAGGCAAAUCAAGGAUCAAAGAGAUUAAAAAAAAAAAAAAAAAAAAAACUUGGCCGAAGUUGCAUAGGCUUUAAAGAAUGAAAAAAGCCUAACAAAACUGUGCACUUGAAGGAGAUGGGGGAAGAGCACUGAAGAGGGAAGAACAGGGAGAGACAAAUGUAGACAAAAAGGGCAGUGGAGGAGGAAGAUAGUCCCCAAAACAAAUUGCCAAAACAAAAAAAAAAUAUCCAACUUUUGUUCAUGGAUAGCCCCUGGAAGAGGAGGGAGAGGGGGGGGACUCUUGAGUACUAUGAAUGUUGAUAGUAGGAAGGGAGGCAGAUGAUUUAGGGAAUUGCAAUGAAUUUUUAAAUCCCCCAUGGAAAUUCAGAGAUGCAGGUGUUUUCAAUACCAGAUCCUUCCCAGGACACAUCUCUACACGUGGCUAUGAGCCUUAUGUUCCCCUAGUCUCUGAGGCGGAAGCUAAGGCCUUCAGCUCAUCUCUAAUUUGACUUCUAAAACCUGGGCUGCUUCCAAGUCUUGAAUAAGCAAGAUAUUGAUAGCCCUGGCAGAGACAGCUCUGAGAAGAGCCAGGGCAGUGAAUGGUUCCCAUACCACUUUGCCAAUUCACUUCAGACCUAACCUACUUACUGCUCUUCAUGCCAAUCAUGCAAAACUUCAGGGUGGAAAGGGAUGAAGGGAAUAUUUUCUCUUUUUCUUCUUUUCCUCUUUUUUUUUCGAGAGUUAAUAUCAAAGGAAUAUAUUCUAGAGAAACACUUUCAGAGAAACUAUGAAGAGAGAAUUAUGCUCAUGUGCCAGGAGAAAAAGUUUGAUAUCUUUAUAAACAAAACCAUAGUCAAGAGUAACUUUUCUAAUAUUUCUCAAAAAUGAUGUAUAUUGCUGUUCUUUUCCCCCAAGGCAAUUGGGGUUAGGUGACUUGCCCAGAGUAACACAGCUAGGAAGUAUUAAGUGUCUGAGUUUAGAUUUGAACUCGUAUCCUCCUGACUUCAGGGCUGGUGCUCUAUCCACUGUGCCACCUAGCUGCCCUUGUAUUGCUGUUCUUUCUUGGAUAAACUUUUGCCUCAUCUGUUCUGUUAGGGUCAAGACAUUCCAAUCCAAUUCAAAAUUCAUUUAUUAAAUGUUCCCAUGCACUGGCAUUGGGCCUGGCAUGAAGAUAUUUUGACAAAAAUGAAACAUUUCCUGCUCGUAAGAAACUUACAUUUUGCCAGAGCAAAACAAAAAAGCAAGUUUAAAAUAUUCAUAAAAUAAAAAUAGUUGAGUUUUGGAGGGGAUGAAAUAGAGGUGAUGGAAGGAAAUAUUUGUUGGCUGAGUCAGGAAACUGUUUCUCUUUUGUAGGUGAGUGGCAUCUGUUGAGCCUUACUUAACUCAUUUUCAAUUAUCCAUAAAGGGAUUAUCUGCUUUAUGUAUUGAUAAGGGCACAUUUUUUACUUGGUUUCAUUUAGUCUAUCUGGAGCUACUUUUUAUCUUUAGUCCAUAUGCCCUUGGGGAAAGGAUAACUCAUUUUAAUAUUGAUCUCCACAAAACUUAAUUAAGAAGUGAAAUUUGGAAUGCAUCAUAUGUUGAUGUGUGUUUCAGCUGAAAAGUGAACUAUAAAUGAUUUUCUGGAUUCUGUGCUCUUUAGCUUUUCAUUCAUUCAUUUCACAAACAUUUGUUAACUACUGUGAGCCAGGAAUUAUAGAUAAUUUUUUUUAAAAACCUCCCCUCAAAGAACUUACAUUCUAUUGAUUAAAACAACAUGUAUACAGAUAAGUAAAUAGGAAAUAAAUACAAGAUUACUUCUGGUGAGCAUCAGCAACUAGGGAUCAAAGACAGGCAUGUUUUACAAUAACUGUGAUGUUUUCUCCCACUAGUAUAUAGAGGCAAGAGUUGACAAUAUCUAGCAUUUUCCUUAGUCAGAGAUAUCUCUCAGAAGAAUAGAUGGAGGGGUAGAAGUCAUCUAGGAAGCCAUCUACUUCAACUUCCUCAUUAUGCACAUAAGUCCAAAUGAGUUGCCUGAGGUCAAAAUUGAGAUUUGAAGCUAUGUCU